UUUCUGGUGGUCUAGUGGCAAAGACUCCAUGCUUCCAAGGCAGGGGGCCUGGGUUCAAUCCCUGGUCAGGGAA
This is a non-coding RNA of Ovis aries (sheep), 73 nucleotides long. The record is from Rfam. Lineage: Eukaryota; Metazoa; Chordata; Mammalia; Artiodactyla; Bovidae.